RNAcentral lists this ribosomal RNA (1056 nucleotides) under Triticum aestivum (bread wheat). Its description in RNAcentral is "partial small subunit ribosomal RNA". Lineage: Eukaryota; Viridiplantae; Streptophyta; Magnoliopsida; Poales; Poaceae. The record is from RNAcentral.
AUGAUUGUAGCUAACACCCUCUUUAGAAAGAGAGAAUCACAUCUGGUGACUUUUAGUAGUGGCCAACACUCUAGCCAGAUUGAUUUCAUCCUCUCGAGAAGAGAAGAUAGGCGUGCGUGCCUAGACUGUAAGGUGAUACCUGGGGAGAGUGUUGUACCCCAACAUAAGCUGGUGGUUGCUGACUUCCGCUUUCGGAUUCGUGUCCAGCGGGAUAAGCGUGCCAAGGUUGCUAGAACGAAGUGGUGGAAGCUCAAGGGGGAGGUAGCUCAAGUGUUCAAGGAGAGGGUAUUUAAGGAGGGCCCUUGGGAGGAAGGAGGGGAUGCGGACAAUGUGUGGAUGAAGAUGGCGACUUGCAUUCGUAAGGUGGCCUCGGGGGAGUUUGGAGUGUCCAGGGGAAGGAGAAGCGAAGAUAAGGAUACCUGGUGGUGGAAUGAUGAUUUCCAGAAGGCGCUUAAAGAGAAGAAAGAUUGCUUCAGACGCCUAUACCUGGAUAGGAGUGCAGACAACAUAGAGAAGUACAAGAUGGCGAAGAAGGCCGCAAAGCGAGCUGUUGGUGAAGCAAGGGGUCGGGCAUAUGAGGACCUCUACCAAUGGUUAGGCACGAAGGAAGGUGAAAGGGACAUCUAUAAGAUGGCUAAGAUCCGGGAGAGGAAGACGAGGGAUAUUGGCCAAGUCAAAUGCAUCAAGGACGGAGCAGGCCAACUCUUGGUGAAGGAUGAAGAGAUUAAGCAUAGAUGGCGGGAGUACUUCGACAAGCUGUUCAAUGGGGAGAAUGAGAGUUCUACCAUUGAACUGAAUGACUCCUUUGAUGAGACUAGCAUGCGUUUUGUGCGGCGCAUCCAGGAGUCUGAGGUGAAGGAGGCUUUAAAAAGGAUGAAAGGAGGCAAGGCAAUGGGCCCUGAUUGUAUCCCCAUUGAGGUGUGGAAAGGUCUCGGGGACAUAGCGAUAGUAUGGCUAACCAAGCUUUUCAACCUCAUUUUUCGGGCAAACAAGAUGCCAGAAGAAUGGAGACGGAGUAUAUUAGUACCAAUCUUCAAGAACAAGGGGGAUGUUUAG